Long non-coding RNA from Plodia interpunctella (Indianmeal moth), 704 nucleotides. RefSeq lists it as uncharacterized. Lineage: Eukaryota; Metazoa; Arthropoda; Insecta; Lepidoptera; Pyralidae. The record is from RefSeq and is a predicted model, not a curated record. The transcript has 2 exons.
ACAUUCAGUGGGCCUUCAUUAUUCGACAAUAAAAAAAUUAAAUCGUGCACUAAGUGCUCUAAACGUGCUUUUUGAGCGUGCUUGAUAAAUUAAACCUAAAAAAUUGCAGAAGACGUAAUCCAGUUAGCGCCAAGCAAUCGAGGGAAAGGCUACGUCCUCAUGUAUAAAGGGUGUACUUUCUCAAGAAACAACAAAUGCAACAGAUGGUACUGCUCCAAGAAGUCGGCUGGCUGUAGGGCGCGACUCUUCGUGUCGGACGACUUCAAGACAGCGGAGCUUUUGAUGGGACACAAUCAUCUCCCCCCACAAUUACCUACAUAUUAUAGCACUAACUAUAGAUUUAGAAAGUCUCCGCGAGAACGUGAAGACCUAUGAUUGAGAGAUAGAUGCUAUAAUUAAUGUAUGGUACUAACCAAGCCAAUAAAUACGAAAUAGCAAUACAAGAUAGAGUUGAUACCCAGCAAGCGCGGGAAAGGUCACAUCCUCGUCUACCAGGGGUACACGUACGCUAAUAUGGGUAACAACAACAGAUGGUACUGUUCUAAGAAAGCUUUGGGUGUAAGGCCCGCCUCCUCACCAUGAACAACUACGAGAAUGCAGAGUUGUUGGUAGAUCAUACCCAUCAACCGCCGACGUUGUACAGACUACCUGAUGGCUCGCUUUGUAGACUAUAAUCGUUUUACAAUAAAAGAUUUGAUGUCUAA